UACCAAGAGCCCUUUUAACUCAGGCCACUCUCUUCUCUCAGAGAGACUUCCAGCGACGUAACCUCUCACCAUCGACUACGUAAAUCUCCGAUCAUCGAUAACAUAAAUUUCAGGCGAACUUCUCUCGCAGUUUGAUUAAUUCUUCUGGGAUGGUGGAUGGAGAUUCAAGAGUGUCCAAGACUAAGCAAUAUGUUCUCCAGUGAUGUCAAUGUUGUUUUCAACGUUUUUUUUUUCCUUGGAACAGGUUGGAUGCAACCUAUACAACCAAUUUACUUUAGCAAAAGAUAUGAAAACCAAUUAGCUUGUAAGGAGAGGAGAAAAUUAUAUAACAAAUUAAAUACCUUUUAUUUAUUUAUCAACAUAAGUUUAUAAGCAAGGGUCUGGGAGUUUAAAGUAGUUGGAGUUUGCUGUUGAGGAGGCUUGAGUUAAGCUAAAACUUGCCAACAAGACUUGGGUUAGAGAGUUGAAAGAAACAAAAACAAAUAGUUGUCUUUUUGUAAAGUGCCCACGUGGUAUUUGGAAAAUACUCUGUGUCCUCCCUUAAAAGUAUGAAUUCCGAAUUUCUACUAAUCAUAAUUUGACGUA
Non-coding RNA from Prunus avium (sweet cherry), 585 nucleotides. NCBI's taxonomy places the organism in Eukaryota, Viridiplantae, Streptophyta, Magnoliopsida, Rosales, Rosaceae. The record is from RefSeq and is a predicted model, not a curated record.